This 378-nucleotide unclassified non-coding RNA is filed under the name plant metagenome. Its description in RNAcentral is "partial contains 5.8S ribosomal RNA, internal transcribed spacer 2, and large subunit ribosomal RNA". The stretch from base 1 to 105 matches the Rfam family "5.8S ribosomal RNA", at positions 50 to 154 of the family's 154-position model. The record is from RNAcentral.
GAAAUGCGAUAAGUAAUGUGAAUUGCAGAAUUCAGUGAAUCAUCGAAUCUUUGAACGCACCUUGCGCUCCUUGGUAUUCCUUGGAGCAUGCCUGUUUGAGUAUCAUGAAAUCUUCAAAGUAAAUCUUUUGUUAACUCAAUUGGUUUCUACUUUGGUAUUGGAGGUCUUUGCAGCUUCACACCUGCUCCUCUUUGUUCAUUAGCUGGAUCUCAGUGUUAUGCUUGGUUCCACUCGGCGUGAUAAGUUAUCUAUCGCUGAGGACACUGUAAAAGGUGGCCAAGGUAAAUGCAGAUGAACCGCUUCUAAUAGUCCAUGGACUUGCACAAUACUUUUAUGAUCUGAUCUCAAAUCAGGUAGGACUACCCGCUGAACUUAAGC